GACGAACGCUGGCGGCGUGCUUAACACAUGCAAGUCGAACGAAGUGGCGAACGGGUGAGUAACGCGUAAUCAACCUGCCCUUCAGAGGGGGACAACAGUUGGAAACGACUGCUAAUACCGCAUACUGAAGGAGGGGAUUGCGUGUGAUUAGCUAGUUGGAGGGGUAACGGCCCACCAAGGCGAAGGUCAGUAGGCGGUCUGGGAAGAGGGACGGGCACAAUGGGAAUGGGACACGGCCCAAGCUUCUACGGGAGGCAGCAGUGGGGAAACUUCCGCAAUGGAGGAAAGUCUGGAGGAGCAACGCCGCGUGAGUGAUGGAGGCCUUCGGGUUGUAAAGCUCUGUUAAUCGGGACGCGGUACCGGAAUAGAAAGCCACGGCUAACUACGUGCCAGCAGCCGCGGUAAUAC
This 408-nucleotide ribosomal RNA is filed under the name uncultured bacterium. Its description in RNAcentral is "partial 16S ribosomal RNA". It matches the Rfam family "Bacterial small subunit ribosomal RNA", at positions 28 to 526 of the family's 1533-position model. The record is from RNAcentral.